CCUACGGGUGGCUGCAGUAGGGAAUUUUGCUCAAUGCUGGAAACCCUGACGCAGCAACGCCGCGUGGAUGACGAAGGUCUUCGGAUCGUAAACUCCUUUCGACAGAGAAGAUAAUGCCUGUAUCUAACGAAUUAUCACUGGCUAACUCCGGGCUAGCAGCCGCGGUAAUACGGAGGGUGCAAGCGUUACUUGGAAUGACUGGGCGUAAAGAGCUCGUAGGCGGGAUAGCAAGUCAGAAGUGAAAUCCUAUGGCUUAACCAUAGGACGGCAUGUGAUACUAUAAUUCUAGAGUAUGAGAGAGGUAUGUAGAAUUCUUGGUGUAGGGGUAAAAUGCGUAGAGAUCAAGAGGAAUACUGAUAGCGAAGGCGACCAGCUGGAACGUAACUGACGCUGAGGCGCGAAAGCGUGGGGAGCAAACAGGAUUAGAUACCCCUGUAGUC
Molecule: ribosomal RNA, 440 nt
Filed under: uncultured bacterium
Lineage: Bacteria
Description: partial 16S ribosomal RNA
Rfam family: Bacterial small subunit ribosomal RNA
Source: RNAcentral